Molecule: ribosomal RNA, 520 nt
Filed under: uncultured Glomus
Lineage: Eukaryota; Fungi; Glomeromycota; Glomeromycetes; Glomerales; Glomeraceae
Description: SSU rRNA
Rfam family: Eukaryotic small subunit ribosomal RNA
Source: RNAcentral
AGCAGCCGCGGUAAUUCCAGCUCCAAUAGCGUAUAUUAAAGUUGUUGCAGUUAAAAAGCUUGUAGUUGAAUUUCGGGGUCAGUAGGUUGGUCGUGCCACUGGUAUGUACUGGCCUUACUGAUUCCUCCUUCUUGAAGAACUGUAAUGUCAUUCACCUGGUGUUGCAGGGAAACAGGACUGUUACUUUGAAAAAAUUAGAGUGUUUAAAGCAGGCUAACGCUUGAAUACAUUAGCAUGGAAUAAUGAAAUAGGACGUUUAAUCCUAUUUUGUUGGUUUCUAGGAUUGACGUAAUGAUUAAUAGGGAUAGUUGGGGGCAUUAGUAUUUAAUUGUCAGAGGUGAAAUUCUUGGAUUUAUUGAAGACUAACUACUGCGAAAGCAUUUGCCAAGGAUGUUUUCAUUAAUCAAGAACGAAAUUAGGGGAAUCGAAGACGAUCAGAUACCGUCGUAGUCUUAACCAUAAACUAUGCCGACUAGGGAUCGGAUGGUGUUAAUUUUUAAUGACUCAUUCGGCGCCUUAC